RNAcentral lists this ribosomal RNA (853 nucleotides) under Bacillus infantis. Its description in RNAcentral is "bacterial SSU rRNA". It matches the Rfam family "Bacterial small subunit ribosomal RNA", at positions 1 to 836 of the family's 1533-position model. Lineage: Bacteria; Bacillati; Bacillota; Bacilli; Caryophanales; Bacillaceae. The record is from RNAcentral.
UUAUAUGGAGAGUUUGAUCCUGGCUCAGGACGAACGCUGGCGGCGUGCCUAAUACAUGCAAGUCGAGCGGACGGAUGGGAGCUUGCUCCCUGAAGUCAGCGGCGGACGGGUGAGUAACACGUGGGCAACCUGCCUGUAAGACUGGGAUAACUUCGGGAAACCGGAGCUAAUACCGGAUAAUGCAUUUCCCCUCAUGGGGAUAUGCUGAAAGAUGGUUUCGGCUAUCACUUACAGAUGGGCCCGCGGCGCAUUAGCUAGUUGGUGAGGUAACGGCUCACCAAGGCAACGAUGCGUAGCCGACCUGAGAGGGUGAUCGGCCACACUGGGACUGAGACACGGCCCAGACUCCUACGGGAGGCAGCAGUAGGGAAUCUUCCGCAAUGGACGAAAGUCUGACGGAGCAACGCCGCGUGAGUGAUGAAGGUUUUCGGAUCGUAAAACUCUGUUGUCAGGGAAGAACAAGUGCCGGAGUAACUGCCGGCACCUUGACGGUACCUGACCAGAAAGCCACGGCUAACUACGUGCCAGCAGCCGCGGUAAUACGUAGGUGGCAAGCGUUGUCCGGAAUUAUUGGGCGUAAAGCGCGCGCAGGCGGUCUCUUAAGUCUGAUGUGAAAGCCCACGGCUCAACCGUGGAGGGUCAUUGGAAACUGGGGGACUUGAGUGCAGAAGAGGAAAGUGGAAUUCCACGUGUAGCGGUGAAAUGCGUAGAGAUGUGGAGGAACACCAGUGGCGAAGGCGACUUUCUGGUCUGUAACUGACGCUGAGGCGCGAAAGCGUGGGGAGCAAACAGGAUUAGAUACCCUGGUAGUCCACGCCGUAAACGAUGAGUGCUAAGUGUUAGAGGGUUUCCG